CAGUAGCCGCGGUAAUACGUAGGUGGCAAGCGUUGUCCGGAAUUAUUGGGCGUAAAGGGCUCGCAGGCGGUUUCUUAAGUCUGAUGUGAACGCCCCCGGCUCAACCGGGGAGGGUCAUUGGAAACUGGGAAACUUGAGUGCAGAAGAGGAGAGUGGAAUUCCACGUGUAGCGGUGAAAUGCGUAGAGAUGUGGAGGAACACCAGUGGCGAAGGCGACUCUCUGGUCUGUAACUGACGCUGAGGAGCGAAAGCGUGGGGAGCGAACAGGAUUAGAUACCCCGGUAGUCCCUGUCUCUUAUAC
Molecule: ribosomal RNA, 301 nt
Filed under: uncultured bacterium
Lineage: Bacteria
Description: partial 16S ribosomal RNA
Rfam family: Bacterial small subunit ribosomal RNA
Source: RNAcentral